RNAcentral lists this ribosomal RNA (632 nucleotides) under Bradyrhizobium sp. RNAcentral describes it as "bacterial SSU rRNA". It matches the Rfam family "Bacterial small subunit ribosomal RNA", at positions 107 to 773 of the family's 1533-position model. The record is from RNAcentral. Lineage: Bacteria; Pseudomonadati; Pseudomonadota; Alphaproteobacteria; Hyphomicrobiales; Nitrobacteraceae.
UGAGUAACGCGUGGGAACGUACCUUUUGGUUCGGAACAACUGAGGGAAACUUCAGCUAAUACCGGAUAAGCCCUUACGGGGAAAGAUUUAUCGCCGAAAGAUCGGCCCGCGUCUGAUUAGCUAGUUGGUGAGGUAAUGGCUCACCAAGGCGACGAUCAGUAGCUGGUCUGAGAGGAUGAUCAGCCACAUUGGGACUGAGACACGGCCCAAACUCCUACGGGAGGCAGCAGUGGGGAAUAUUGGACAAUGGGCGCAAGCCUGAUCCAGCCAUGCCGCGUGAGUGAUGAAGGCCCUAGGGUUGUAAAGCUCUUUUGUGCGGGAAGAUAAUGACGGUACCGCAAGAAUAAGCCCCGGCUAACUUCGUGCCAGCAGCCGCGGUAAUACGAAGGGGGCUAGCGUUGCUCGGAAUCACUGGGCGUAAAGGGUGCGUAGGCGGGUCUUUAAGUCAGGGGUGAAAUCCUGGAGCUCAACUCCAGAACUGCCUUUGAUACUGAAGAUCUUGAGUUCGGGAGAGGUGAGUGGAACUGCGAGUGUAGAGGUGAAAUUCGUAGAUAUUCGCAAGAACACCAGUGGCGAAGGCGGCUCACUGGCCCGAUACUGACGCUGAGGCACGAAAGCGUGGGGGAGCAAAC